This 440-nucleotide ribosomal RNA is filed under the name uncultured bacterium. Its description in RNAcentral is "bacterial SSU rRNA". It matches the Rfam family "Bacterial small subunit ribosomal RNA", at positions 42 to 475 of the family's 1533-position model. The record is from RNAcentral.
UCAGGCCUAACACAUGCAAGUCGAGCGGUAACAGGGGGUGCUUGCACCCCGCUGACGACGGCGGACGGGUGAGUAAUGCUUAGGAAUCUGCCCAGUAGUGGGGGAUAGCCCGGGGAAACCCGGAUUAAUACCGCAUACGUCCUACGGGAGAAAGCAGGGGAUCUUCGGACCUUGCGCUACUGGAUGAGCCUAAGUCGGAUUAGCUAGUUGGUGGGGUAAAGGCCUACCAAGGCGACGAUCCGUAGCUGGUCUGAGAGGAUGAUCAGCCACAUCGGGACUGAGACACGGCCCGAACUCCUACGGGAGGCAGCAGUGGGGAAUAUUGGACAAUGGGGGCAACCCUGAUCCAGCCAUGCCGCGUGUGUGAAGAAGGCUUUCGGGUUGUAAAGCACUUUCAGCGAGGAGGAAGGCUCUGAAGUUAAUACCUUCAGGGAUGACGC